This 506-nucleotide ribosomal RNA is filed under the name uncultured bacterium. Its description in RNAcentral is "partial 16S ribosomal RNA". It matches the Rfam family "Bacterial small subunit ribosomal RNA", at positions 29 to 523 of the family's 1533-position model. The record is from RNAcentral.
AGUGAACGCUGGCGGUAGGCCUAACGCAUGCAAGUCGAACGGCAGCACAGGAGAGCUUGCUCUCUGGGUGGCGAGUGGCGGACGGGUGAGGAAUACAUCGGAAUCUACUCUGUCGUGGGGGAUAACGUAGGGAAACUUACGCUAAUACCGCAUACGACCUACGGGUGAAAGCAGGGGACCUUCGGGCCUUGCGCGAUUGAAUGAGCCGAUGUCGGAUUAGCUAGUUGGCGGGGUAAAGGCCCACCAAGGCGACGAUCCGUAGCUGGUCGGAGAGGGUGAUCAGCCACACUGGAACUGAGACACGGUCCAGACUCCUACGGGAGGCAGCAGUGGGGAAUAUUGGACAAUGGGCGCAAGCCUGAUCCAGCCAUACCGCGUGGGUGAAGAAGGCCUUCGGGUUGUAAAGCCCUUUUGUUGGGAAAGAAAUCCAGCUGGCUAAUACCCGGUUGGGAUGACGGUACCCAAAGAAUAAGCACCGGCUAACUUCGUGCCAGCCGCCGCAGUAA